Molecule: ribosomal RNA, 497 nt
Filed under: uncultured bacterium
Lineage: Bacteria
Description: partial 16S ribosomal RNA
Rfam family: Bacterial small subunit ribosomal RNA
Source: RNAcentral
GACGAACGCUGGCGGCGUGCCUAAUACAUGCAAGUAGAACGCUGAAGAGAGGAGCUUGCUCUUCUUGGAUGAGUUGCGAACGGGUGAGUAACGCGUAGGUAACCUGCCUUGUAGCGGGGGAUAACUAUUGGAGACGAUAGCUAAUACCGCAUAACAAUGGAUGACACAUGUCAUUUAUUUGAAAGGGGCAAUUGCUCCACUACAGGAUGGACCUGCGUUGUAUUAGCUAGUAGGUGAGGUAAUGGCUCACCUAGGCGACGAUACAUAGCCGACCUGAGAGGGUGAUCGGCCACACUGGGACUGAGACACGGCCCAGACUCCUACGGGAGGCAGCAGUAGGGAAUCCUCGGCAAUGGGGGCAACCCUGACCGAGCAACGCCGCGUGAGUGAAGAAGGUUUUCGGAUCGUAAAGCUCUGUUGUAGGUCAAGAACGGGUGUGAGAGUGGAAAGUUCACACUGUGACGGUAGCUUACCAGAAAGGGACGGCUAACUACGUG